GUAGGUGGCAAGCGUUGUCCGGGAAUUAUUGGGCGUAAAGCGCGCGCAGGCGGUUCUUUAAGUCUGAUGUGAAAGCCCACGGCUCAACCGUGGAGGGUCAUUGGAAACUGGAGAACUUGAGUACAGAAGAGGAAAGCGGAAUUCCACGUGUAGCGGUGAAAUGCGUAGAGAUGUGGAGGAACACCAGUGGCGAAGGCGGCUUUCUGGUCUGUAACUGACGCUGAGGCGCGAAAGCGUGGGGAGCAAACAGGAUUAGAUACCCUGGUAGUCCACGCCGUAAACGAUGAGUGCUAAGUGCUAGGGGGUUUCCGCCCCUUAGUGCUGCAGCUAACGCAUUAAGCACUCCGCCUGGGGAGUACGGCCGCAAAGGCUG
RNAcentral lists this ribosomal RNA (373 nucleotides) under uncultured organism. RNAcentral describes it as "partial 16S ribosomal RNA". It matches the Rfam family "Bacterial small subunit ribosomal RNA", at positions 527 to 896 of the family's 1533-position model. The record is from RNAcentral.